AACUAAUGAUGGACAGAAAUACCUAAAGCUAAACCUGGAGCCUGAUCAUAUUGCUCCGUGGUUGAAGGAAUACAAGGAAGGUAAAUUGCUACCAUACAAGAAAUCUGAACCAAUUCCUGAAGUCAACAACGAGCCUGUGAAAGUUGUUGUUGCUGAUAGUCUCCAUGACAUGGUUAACAACUCUGGAAAAAAUGUUCUUCUGGAGUUUUAUGCUCCCUGGUGUGGACACUGCAAAAAAUUGGCUCC
Molecule: unclassified non-coding RNA, 246 nt
Filed under: Hevea brasiliensis (rubber tree)
Lineage: Eukaryota; Viridiplantae; Streptophyta; Magnoliopsida; Malpighiales; Euphorbiaceae
Source: RNAcentral